RNAcentral lists this long non-coding RNA (277 nucleotides) under Physcomitrium patens. RNAcentral's name for it is "long non-coding RNA (PPAT_LNC012540)". The record is from RNAcentral. Lineage: Eukaryota; Viridiplantae; Streptophyta; Bryopsida; Funariales; Funariaceae.
UUUUUAAGAUUUCAUGCAAUCUACUAGUUGGAUUUGAAUGAAAUUCAUUAGGGUUUUAACUAGAAUUAAAUUAAGGUUGAAUUGACAUAUAUUUGAGUAAUAUUUGUGAUCAUUCUAAUAUUUCUUUAAGAAUUUUAUUAUUUGUUUGAAAUUUCUUUGAGUUGUUUUGAAUUUGAUUACGUUUGUUUACCAUUAUUAUAAUCUAAUUAGAGCAUUUUUAGUAUUCUAUUAGAAUUAGGAUUUUGUUAUCGCAAUUUCUAUUCUUCCUUCUAUAGCC